CUCCUUCGCACCAGGUAACUAACAGCUGUAACUUUAAGGACCUCAGUCACUGGUCCUACUUUCAUCUAGUCCAAUUAUUUAUGUUUAGCUUCGACCUCAGGUGGAGACAAAGCUUUAUCUAUGUCUAUUUUUCUGUGCAUGUGCUGUCUUUUUGACUAAAUGUGUCCUUGACGGUAAUACUAAGUGUAGCAGCAGGCCUCGACCACGUGCCUCACUGCACGAGUUGAGAUGCUAAUUUGCAAACGAGCUAAUCUUCCUCUUCUCAAAUAAGUAACUUUGCCGUGUCAUUCCCAUGACUAUAUGAUGAGAUGAAUGUUGGUAGGGACAUCUUAUUUACUGUGAUGAAUACCAACUUUUCUGACUGCAUGGGACUAGGCCUCAAACAUUAGCUGCACCGCUAGUGUGCCGUUAGCUGCUCCAUGUGAAGGAUUUGAUGCCUUUACAGCUGCACUAAAGAAGUUGCUUUGUUUAAAACGGGCAGUAAUUAACUUAAAUUCAGUUCUUUUUUUUCUGACAGGCCUUUCGAUAGAAUCGUUGCAAAAUGAAGGUCUCUUUGAGUCGGUUGAAGAUGUCUACACGUUGUGAACGUCUUGGCAGACUAUGCUGGUAAGGUUAACACAUAAUGGCUUCUGAUUACAAGACUACAGUCUGUGAUGCUGUAAGAGUAGUGGACAGAUGUGAUUUCUGAUAAAUUUUACACUGAGACUUUGAGUUAGCUAUACUUUGUCUCCAUAUGACCACUAUGGUACUAACAAUGUGUUCAUCAACAGGUGUCUUGCAAGCUGAGAGCUAUUCAUGAAGUAACUCGGAGCAAAUGAGGUGUGCCUAGUUUGGUGGUUGGAGCUGACGAUUUCACCAAUGAUGGGUCAUUGUAGCAGGUAAUUUGUUUAUUUUACUCUGCAUUCUUUUCUUUAAACUGUCAAUGAUGGACAAUGUUAAAAACAUUGGGAAUCUCUCUGAAAAGAGUGAAAGACAACUUUUUACUGAUGCAGUGCAGAAUCAGAACUGCCUUUGUAUUAAAGUGGGAGCUUUUACUAAUGUCUGGUAACUUUCAGGUUGUCCUCCAUCUUUGGCUCAUCUCCAUUUACUUGGAUCAGUUGAUGGACCAAUGUGACUUGCAGUCAAAAGACCAAGUGAAGACGCGUAAAACAUUCCUGCUGGAAAAUUCCCAUCUCUAUGUUGGUGAAAGCCAGACUGAAAAUCGAGAGGACAAGAUGUUGCACAAGCAUGGUGAGUCUGAGGAAGCGACUUUAAAAGCACUUUUAGACCCAGAUGACCAGUGCAGUUGGUAG
Long non-coding RNA from Cyclopterus lumpus (lumpfish), 1292 nucleotides. The record is from Ensembl. Lineage: Eukaryota; Metazoa; Chordata; Actinopteri; Perciformes; Cyclopteridae.